CAUGACAUGACAAAACGAACUUACAAACUACAUCUCAAAUCAAAAGAUUCGAAUUUUUUGUGAUCUUGAUAAAAAUACCAAUUUUUUUAACAUCAUGCCCUUCGCUCCUGAAUUAAGAACCCAUUCUCAAAAAGUAUGUAGUCUGUAUAAAGCAGCUUGCAGACUUAUCGAAUCUUAUUAUGUUGCAAAGUAUUGUAUACGAUACCAUCAAGUAAUACUACGCAACGAAUUUGAUAAAAAUAAGUGCGUAUGUGAUCCUCAAGAACAACGUCGUUUGCUUUGGUCUGGUGAAAGUGAGGUUUUUAUGCACAAAAAUCCUAUUCCAAGCGCUAAGUUCCCAAAAUCGUUAGGACUAGCUGCUGGAGUUGCGCAUGGGCGCGUUGUCGAGCCACCGGAUUGGGUACUAGACUAUUGGCAUCCACUUGAGAAAGCGCAAUACCCUGAAUACUUCAGAAAGCGUGAAUGCAGAAAAUGCGAAUAUAUUAGGAAAUGGAAUAGUGGCACUUUGUAUUAAAAUGCUAUUGUGAUUUAUUGAAUAAAAUUUAUCGUGUUCUAUGUU
Molecule: long non-coding RNA, 559 nt
Organism: Ostrinia nubilalis (European corn borer)
Lineage: Eukaryota; Metazoa; Arthropoda; Insecta; Lepidoptera; Crambidae
Exons: 3
Source: RefSeq, a predicted model, not a curated record